Molecule: ribosomal RNA, 250 nt
Filed under: uncultured prokaryote
Description: partial 16S ribosomal RNA
Rfam family: Bacterial small subunit ribosomal RNA
Source: RNAcentral
UACGUAGGUGGCAAGCGUUGUCCGGAAUUAUUGGGCGUAAAGCGCGCGCAGGCGGAUCAGUAAGUCUGUCUUAAAAGUUCGGGGCUUAACCCCGUGAGGGGAUGGAAACUGUUGGUCUAGAGUAUCGGAGAGGAAAGCGGAAUUCCUAGUGUAGCGGUGAAAUGCGUAGAUAUUAGGAAGAACACCAGUGGCGAAGGCGGCUUUCUGGACGAAAACUGACGCUGAGGCGCGAAAGCCAGGGGAGCGAACG